This 1506-nucleotide ribosomal RNA is filed under the name metagenome. RNAcentral's name for it is "bacterial LSU rRNA". It matches the Rfam family "Bacterial large subunit ribosomal RNA", at positions 1443 to 2925 of the family's 2925-position model. The record is from RNAcentral.
CCGAUCGGGUAGUAGGUAAGCGAUGGGGUGACGCAGGAAGGUAGUCCAGCCCAGGCGAUGGUUGUCCUGGGGUAAGCAUGUAGGGCGGAACGUAGGUAAAUCCGCGUUCUAUUCAGCCUGAGAUGUGAUGCCGAGCCGAUUGUGGUGAAGUGGAUGAUCCUAUGCUGCCGAGAAAAGCCUCUAGUGAGUGUUGUGGCGGCCCGUACCCUAAACCGACCCAGGUGGUCAGGUAGAGAAUACCAAGGCGAUCGGGUGAACUGUGGUUAAGGAACUCGGCAAAUUGCCCCCGUAACUUCGGGAGAAGGGGGACCUCUGCUGGUGAUGGGCUUUACGUUCUGAGCUGGUGGGGGUCGCAGUGGCCAGGGGGAAGCGACUGUUUACUAAAAACACAGGUCCGUGCGAAGUCGUAAGACGAUGUAUACGGACUGACGCCUGCCCGGUGCCGGAACGUUAAGGGGACCGCUUAGCCAACGCGAGUUGGCGAAGGUGAGAACUUAAGCGCCGGUAAACGGCGGUGGUAACUAUAACCAUCCUAAGGUAGCGAAAUUCCUUGUCGGGUAAGUUCCGACCUGCACGAAUGGCGUAACGACUUCCCCGCUGUCUCAACCACAGACCCGGCGAAAUUGCACUACGAGUAAAGAUGCUCGUUUCGCGCAGCAGGACGGAAAGACCCCGGGACCUUCACUACAGCUUGACAUUGGCGUUUGGAACGUCUUGUGUAGGAUAGGUGGGAGACUGGGAAGCUGUCACGCUAGUGAUGGUGGAGUCAUUGGUGAAAUACCACUCUGGUCGUUUUGAACGUCUAACUCUGGUCCGUGAUCCGGAUCGGGGACAGUGUCUGGUGGGUAGUUUAACUGGGGCGGUUGCCUCCUAAAGAGUAACGGAGGCGCCCAAAGGUUCCCUCAGCCUGGUUGCCAAUCAGGUGUUGAGUGUAAGUGCACAAGGGAGCUUGACUGUGAGACUGACAGGUCGAGCAGGAGCGAAAGCUGGGACUAGUGAUCCGGCAUCGGCGUGUGGAAGCGGUGUCGCUCAACGGCUAAAAGGUACCCCGGGGAUAACAGGCUGAUCUUCCCCAAGAGUCCAUAUCGACGGGAUGGUUUGGCACCUCGAUGUCGGCUCGUCGCAUCCUGGGGCUGGAGUAGGUCCCAAGGGUUGGGCUGUUCGCCCAUUAAAGCGGUACGCGAGCUGGGUUUAGAACGUCGCGAGACAGUUCGGUCCCUAUCCGCUGCGCGCGCAGGAGACUUGAAGGGGGCUGUCCCUAGUACGAGAGGACCGGGACGGACGAACCUCUGGUGUGCCAGUUGUACCGCCAGGUGCACGGCUGGUUGGCUACGUUCGGAAGGGAUAACCGCUGAAAGCAUCUAAGCGGGAAGCUCGCCUUGAGAUGAGGUCUCCCACCCCGUGAGGGGGUAAGGCUCCCGGUAGAUCACCGGGUUGAUAGGCCGGAGGUGGAAGCACGGUAACCUGUGGAGCUGACCGGUACUAAUAGGCCGAGGACUUGACCAC